This 253-nucleotide ribosomal RNA is filed under the name uncultured bacterium. RNAcentral describes it as "partial 16S ribosomal RNA". It matches the Rfam family "Bacterial small subunit ribosomal RNA", at positions 524 to 776 of the family's 1533-position model. The record is from RNAcentral.
UACGAAGGGAGCUAGCGUUGUUCGGAAUCACUGGGCGUAAAGCGCACGUAGGCGGAUGUGUCAGUCAGGGGUGAAAUCCCGGAGCUCAACUUCGGAACUGCCUUUGAUACAGCACAUCUGGAGUCCGGAAGAGGUGGGUGGAAUUCCUAGUGUAGAGGUGAAAUUCGUAGAUAUUAGGAAGAACACCAGUGGCGAAGGCGGCUCACUGGCGCGGUACUGACGCUGAGGCGCGAAAGCGUGGGGAGCAAACAGG